GACGCAGCAUGCCGCGUGAUGAGAAGGCCUUCGGGUUGUAAAGUUCUUUCGGUAUUGAGGAAGGGAUGUGUGCUAAUAGUACAUAUCAUUGACGUUAAAUACAGAAGAAGCACCGGCUAACUCCGUGCCAGCAGCCGCGGUAAUACGGAGGGUGCGAGCGUUAAUCGGAAUAACUGGGCGUAAAGGGCACGCAGGCGGUUAUUUAAGUGAGGUGUGAAAGCCCCGGGCUUAACCUGGGAAUUGCAUUUCAGACUGGGUAACUAGAGUACUUUAGGGAGGGGUAGAAUUCCACGUGUAGCGGUGAAAUGCGUAGAGAUGUGGAGGAAUACCGAAGGCGAAGGCAGCCCCUUGGGAAUGUACUGACGCUCAUGUGCGAAAGCGUGGGGAGCAAACA
RNAcentral lists this ribosomal RNA (394 nucleotides) under Haemophilus sp. RNAcentral describes it as "bacterial SSU rRNA". It matches the Rfam family "Bacterial small subunit ribosomal RNA", at positions 385 to 774 of the family's 1533-position model. Lineage: Bacteria; Pseudomonadati; Pseudomonadota; Gammaproteobacteria; Pasteurellales; Pasteurellaceae. The record is from RNAcentral.